CCGGACACGGAUGGGCAUGCGGCGCAUAGGGCAGUAGGCGGGGUAACGGCCCACCUAACCGACGAUGCGUAGGGGUUCUGAGAGGAAGGUCCCCCACACUGGUACUGAGACACGGACCAGACUCCUACGGGAGGCAGCAGUGAGGAAUAUUGGUCAAUGGUCGGGAGACUGAACCAGCCAAGCCGCGUGAGGGAGGAAGGUACAGAGUAUCGUAAACCUCUUUUGUCAGGGAACAAAGACUGGGACGCGUCCCCGGAUGAGUGUACCUGAAGAAAAAGCAUCGGCUAACUCCGUGCCAGCAGCCGCGGUAAUACGGAGGAUGCGAGCGUUAUCCGGAUUUAUUGGGUUUAAAGGGUGCGCAGGCGGUCUGUUAAGUCAGCGGUCAAAGCCCGGGGCUCAACCCCGGCCCGCCGUUGAAACUGGCAGUCUCGAGUUGGAGAGAAGUAUGCGGAAUGCGCGGUGUAGCGGUGAAAUGCAUAGAUAUCGCGCAGAACUCCGAUUGCGAAGGCAGCAUGCCGGCUCCACACUGACGCUGAGGCACGAAAGCGUGGGUAUCGAACAGGAUUAGAUACCCUGGUAGUCCACGCAGUAAACGAUGAAUGCUGGCUGUCCGGGGGGACUGACCCCUGGGUGGCGAAG
RNAcentral lists this ribosomal RNA (639 nucleotides) under uncultured bacterium. Its description in RNAcentral is "bacterial SSU rRNA". It matches the Rfam family "Bacterial small subunit ribosomal RNA", at positions 215 to 851 of the family's 1533-position model. The record is from RNAcentral.